GCCCCCUCUGCUCAGGUGAUGGACUUCCUGUUUGAGAAGUGGAAGCUCUACGGCGACCAGUGUCACCACAACCUGAGCCUGCUGCCCCCUCCCACGGGUGAGCCCCCACCCAGAGCCUUUCAGCCUGUGCCUGGCCUCAGCACUUCCUGAGUUCUCCUCAUGGGAAGGUUCCUGGGUACUUAUGCAGCCCUUGAGGACCUCGCCAAGGGGCCCUGUCACUCCUCAGGCCCCCACCCCCAUGGGCAGAGCUGGUGUGCAACAGAACCUUCGACAAGUAUUCCUGCUGGCCAGACACCCCCGCCAAUACCACGGCCAACAUCUCCUGCCCCUGGUACCUGCCUUGGCACCACAAAGGUACCCAUAAAGGGCAGGAACUGUGGGAGGGGCGGGCCCGGGGUGGGGCUGACCUCAGCCUCCCCCCACACCCCCAGUGCAACACCGCUUCGUGUUCAAGAGAUGCGGGCCCGACGGUCAGUGGGUGCGCGGACCCCGGGGGCAGCCUUGGCGUGACGCCUCCCAGUGCCAGAUGGAUGGCGAGGAGAUUGAGGUCCAGGUCAGCGGGCGGCAGGCGGGCGCGGUGGGCUGGAUGGGAACGGGCAUGGGGGCCCCCGCCUGGCCCUCACAGGCCACUUUAACUCACAGAAGGAGGUGGCCAAGAUGUACAGCAGCUUCCAGGUGAUGUACACGGUGGGCUACAGCCUGUCCCUGGGGGCUCUGCUCCUCGCCUUGGCCAUCCUGGGGGGCCUCAGGUAGGAUUCCGCC
This 762-nucleotide small RNA is filed under the name Pongo abelii (Sumatran orangutan). Its description in RNAcentral is "retained intron". Lineage: Eukaryota; Metazoa; Chordata; Mammalia; Primates; Hominidae. The record is from RNAcentral.